This 253-nucleotide ribosomal RNA is filed under the name uncultured bacterium. RNAcentral's name for it is "partial 16S ribosomal RNA". It matches the Rfam family "Bacterial small subunit ribosomal RNA", at positions 524 to 776 of the family's 1533-position model. The record is from RNAcentral.
UACGGAGGGUGCAAGCAUUAAUCGGAUUUAUUGGGCGUAAAGGGCGCGUAGGCGGAGAUACAAGUCAGACGUGAAAUCCCGGGGCUCAACCUCGGAAUAGCAUUUGAAACUGUAUCCCUAGAGGGUAGUCGGAGAAAAUGGAAUUCCACAAGUAGCGGUGAAAUGCGUAGAUAUGUGGAAGAACACCGGUGGCGAAGGCAGGUCCCUGGGCUGACACUGACGCUCAUGCACGAAAGCGUGGGGAGCAAACAGG